This 228-nucleotide ribosomal RNA is filed under the name uncultured bacterium. RNAcentral's name for it is "partial 16S ribosomal RNA". It matches the Rfam family "Bacterial small subunit ribosomal RNA", at positions 103 to 334 of the family's 1533-position model. The record is from RNAcentral.
CGGGUGAGUAACGCGUAGAAAUCUGCCUGGUAGUGGGGGAUAGCCCAGAGAAAUUUGGAUUAAUACCGCAUACGCCCUACGGGGGAAAGCAGGGGACCUUCGGGCCUUGCGCUAUCAGAUGAGUCUGCGUCGGAUUAGCUUGUUGGUGAGGUAAUGGCUCACCAAGGCGACGAUCCGUAGCUGGUCCGAGAGGAUGAUCAGCCACACUGGGACUGAGACACGGCCCAG